AAUAUUGGGCAAUGGAGGCAACUCUGACCCAGCCAUGCCGCGUGCAGGAAGACCGCCCUAUGGGUUGUAAACUGCUUUUUUACAGGAAUAAACGCAGCUACGUGUAGUUGUUUGAAGGUACUGUAAGAAUAAGGACCGGCUAACUCCGUGCCAUCAGCCGCGGUAAUACGGAGGGUCCAAGCGUUAUUCGGAUUCAUUGGGUUUAAAGGGUCCGUAGGCGGUAAACUAAGUCAGUGGUGAAAGGCAGUGGCUCAACCAUUGGAGUGCCAUUGAUACUGGUUUACUUGAGUUUAUUGGAAGUGGGCGGAAUACGUCAUGUAGCGGUGAAAUGCAUAGAUAUGACGUAGAACACCGAUUGCGAAGGCAGCUCACUAUAAUACAACUGACGCUGAGGGACGAAAGCGUGGGGAGCGAACAG
Molecule: ribosomal RNA, 418 nt
Filed under: uncultured bacterium
Lineage: Bacteria
Description: partial 16S ribosomal RNA
Rfam family: Bacterial small subunit ribosomal RNA
Source: RNAcentral